UCCAAGAUGGCCGCUGUGUAAUCCAAUCCUUGUAAAUGGCGGGAAAGUUCUAAUACUUGUCGACUUAAGUCAGUUUCUUUCUUCGUGACGCCUCUGGACGAUGUGGAUGUGGUUUCCAUUUGUGUGUCUGGUUUGCAUUUUUUGUAUUGUUUUAUUUAUUAUCUUAGAUUAGUUGACGAAAGAGGAAGGUCGUUAUAGACUGGACUCACUACACGGCAUGUCUUCAGAUUUGGAUUCAACUGCCGGUCGUUGGCCCAGCCUUUCGGCCAAUGAGUCAAUGAUCUUCCGGUUACCGAUGAACUUACUCGACAGUUUACGCAGAUGUGUAAAGUAAGUUAUUCCGUGCAACAAAACAGCAAUAUCGAAGAAGAUAGGUCACUGCCACCAACAUGUACGACUGACACCUUAGCUGAAUAGCUGUUCGCUGUUCUAGUCAGAAUGCUGAAGUGCUCAACUAGGAAAAGGGUGCCUCAACUACGUUAGUUUGGCG
Molecule: long non-coding RNA, 490 nt
Organism: Daphnia pulicaria
Lineage: Eukaryota; Metazoa; Arthropoda; Branchiopoda; Diplostraca; Daphniidae
Exons: 2
Source: RefSeq, a predicted model, not a curated record